This is a long non-coding RNA of Cephus cinctus (wheat stem sawfly), 1455 nucleotides long. RefSeq lists it as uncharacterized. The record is from RefSeq and is a predicted model, not a curated record. Lineage: Eukaryota; Metazoa; Arthropoda; Insecta; Hymenoptera; Cephidae. The transcript is spliced from 3 exons.
AAACAGAGUAAUCGUUGAUCGUGAUGAAAUCCGUAAUUUCAAGUCCGUUUCACGCUUGUUCUUGGCAAGAGGUUAGCCUGGUCGACAUAAAAGCGAUCAGACAGCGACGGCGACGACUGCGCCAAUUUUCAAAGGGACGGAGACGAGGUGAAUCAAAACAAAAGGCUCUACCGUCCACCUAGGUUUAUACGCAGGUGGAGACAUCUGAAAUUAAAGUUACUGAAAAGCAUAUUCAAAUACUGUAAUACCGCCAGGAGAGAAGUCAAUUGCUACAUAGAAUCAAAAUGAAGAUUCAGCAAAAAUCUUUGUAAACACGAACCGUCCAGAUGCGGUCUGUUGUUUUAAAUAUAGUUCGUAGUUAGUGCGCGAUUGAAACAAAUGAAAUUUACAAGCGGACUGUAAUUCCAUAGGAAUAUUCACACACAGAAUGAUAUGCAUUGCUGCGCGUAAAUGUAGAAGGAAAGCAGAGAGAAUCGGAUGAGAAAUAUUUUCUGAAAUUUUACAAAUUCCACAGUGACGUAUGCGUAAUAUGCAAAUGGCGGUUAGGGGGAUCUCCCCGACUAGAUAUAGAGUAUGGAGCGCCGUUUCUUUCAUUGAUUUCGAAACGGUCCGACGAAUUUGAGGAUAAAAAUGAAACCCAGGUUGGUAGGCGGUUCGGUACAUCAGGCUAUAGAAGUGACGGCCAAGGAUUUUCCCGUGCGUGAAUUAAAUAUGACGGUUCGACGAGGAUAAACAAGCACGUUGGAUGCGUUAUGCGAACUACUGAGUCGGACUUGAAAAAGCAAAUUUCGAUGGAGAACGAAUGGACGAGACACGUACGUCGAAAGGGAACGAAAACUUGUCGAAAAUAUUCAUCGAGCGACAAUGGACACUAAAUGCUAACUAGCUGCCAAGUCAAACAUAAGGUACCUUCGGCGUAACACUCGUAAAAUUUUUCGUUUGAUCAGCCAACGUCCGAACAGCUGACUCCUUCGGCUAGCAUUACGACCUAAUUACACCUAGUAACGACCUCGAUGAUGAAUCCACAGCAUCCACUGGAAAUGAGAUAUGGCUUAUUUUCAAGAUCUCGCUGCUUAUUUUACAUGUUCGUCAUAUCAAUUACUACGAGGAUUCCGUCUGACCCUGUUUUAUCGACUGUAUCGACCAUCAUUAUACCGACUGGGAUUUGUCCAAUUAUACAAAGUGAAGAGUCAACAGGGAUGAACGUUCGGUGGUCCCUUGGCGAUUUAAUUCCCGCACGUUACAGAUUUAUCAUGACGAACUGAGAAAGUAAGACGGCAGUGUGCCGAGUGGAGUGGCUGCUGCGACGGAUUUCAGUUAACCUAUAAACGCUUGUGGCUGGAGAUUAAUGAAUGCUCGGAAGAUCACAGGUGUUGGGUAUUGCAUAAAAUCUGAGGAGUGAAAAUGUCUGAGAAAAAUAUUAUAUAUCGUUUUCAAUGAAUUCACUGGGAAAAG